UUACUUGAAUUCAUUGAUAUUUUCUCUGAAAUAUUUUACAUAUAUACACACAAAUUUGGCAAGGCUUUGCAGAGAAAGAAAGAAAGAAAGAAAGAAAGAAAGAAAGAAAGAAAGAAAGAAAGAAAGAAAGAAAGAAAGAAAGAAAGAAAGAAAGAAAGAAAGAAAGAAAGAAAGAAAGAAAGAAAGAAGGAAGGAAGGAAGGAAAAUGGAAGGAGG
Molecule: long non-coding RNA, 216 nt
Filed under: Monodelphis domestica (gray short-tailed opossum)
Lineage: Eukaryota; Metazoa; Chordata; Mammalia; Didelphimorphia; Didelphidae
Description: lncRNA (ENSMODG00000036854.1)
Source: RNAcentral